RNAcentral lists this transfer RNA (62 nucleotides) under Stheneboea repudiosa. Its description in RNAcentral is "tRNA-Ser". The record is from RNAcentral. Lineage: Eukaryota; Metazoa; Arthropoda; Insecta; Phasmatodea; Lonchodidae.
GAAAUAUAAAUAAUAAUAGCUGCUAACUAAUUAUAUAAUGGUUAAAAUCCAUUAAUAUUUCU